CUCUGAAAUAACAUAAUUGCUCAUGUCUUUCAGGUUAAGUGAGAGAUUGUUAUGAAAACCCAAAGACCCCAUGUGUUAAUUCUAAUAUUCUUAAAAAUGUUGAGCUUGGUAGCAGAAGUUCGAAGGAGGUGUCAUCUUGCUGACAUACUCAUAUCUGCUCACACCCUCCUGUUGCUUUUAUUUGCCUGUAGAGGUGUCCCAAAACCAGCAUCUGUUCCUCAGCUUCCCGGUGGUUGAGCAGCUCCUUAACUUGAACGGUAUUUCUCAAGCUGAUCUGAGAGCUGCAGAGGGCUUCAUAGCUGAUUGUAAGAGGUUCUUGAAAUGUGACUAAAAUCUGAGGCUCACUCUUUGACAGUAGAUUUAGAUUUGCUGCUUGAGGCUUCCCACCUUCCAGAAAUAACAGGACUUUAAAGAAGAUAGAAACCCAUUGGUACAAGGGAGCAUUCAAGGGUUCUUGAAUACUGUUCACAUGACUAUGAAUUCCUUCUAGAUAAGGAAAGAAAAACAUUGAUGUGGUGUUGGUUGCGAUGGCUAUAAAGCGUGUGUUUCUUGGCUUCUGAUUUCUUCAGAAAAGGUGCCGAUAGGUAUUAGCCGUAAGUCACACAGCUGUCAUUUUGUAGUAGAACUUUUUCUAAAAGUAAACAUGAAUGCACCUAAAAGAGGGUAGACCUUGCACUGUGUUGUAAUGAUAAAGGCCAUCUGUUACUCUUCAAUGAAAAUAAAAUUUCAGACUCCAAGGCUGCUUUCUUUUUGAA
Falco peregrinus (peregrine falcon) is the source of this 755-nucleotide long non-coding RNA. RefSeq lists it as uncharacterized. The record is from RefSeq and is a predicted model, not a curated record. NCBI's taxonomy places the organism in Eukaryota, Metazoa, Chordata, Aves, Falconiformes, Falconidae. The transcript is spliced from 2 exons.